RNAcentral lists this long non-coding RNA (8331 nucleotides) under Solanum tuberosum (potato). RNAcentral's name for it is "long non-coding RNA (STUB_LNC003832)". Lineage: Eukaryota; Viridiplantae; Streptophyta; Magnoliopsida; Solanales; Solanaceae. The record is from RNAcentral.
AAGCAAUGAGGAUAUACUCGAGUCUUUGGAAUGCAGAUGAUUGGGCUACAAGAGGAGGACUUGUCAAGACUGAUUGGAGCCAAGCACCCUUUAGUGCUUCUUACAGAAACUUCAGUGCUAAUGCAUGUAUUCCCAGUUCUUCAUCUUCUUGCAGUUCCAAUACUACAACUUCAACAAGCAAUUCAUGGUUGAAUGAAGAGUUAGAUAACACAAGUCAAGAGAGGCUCAAAUGGGUGCAGAAGAAUUACAUGGUUUAUAAUUACUGCACUGAUUCUAAACGAUUUUCACAAGGAUUUCCAGCAGAUUGUGUUCAGAACAGCUAAGCAUUUACAGUGAAAAAUAGUGUAUUCUUUUAUUUAUUGUACUGAUUCUUUUAUUGUUCUGCAUCAACCAGAAGAUGCAUUAAUUAUUGAGGAUUAGAAACAUCUUAUUAUUGUAUUGACAAUGAAAUAGAUAUAUUCUUUUAUAGCUUAGUGUUUUGGAUAUGAAAAAUUAUGCUACUACAGCUCUUUUGCAAAGUACAAAAGAGGUGAAUUGGCAUCAUUUUUAAAAUUCCUAUCUAAAUUGAUGAGAAGGCGGGAGAAAAGUCAAAUUAUUUAACUUAAUUAUGUAAUAAUAUUUGUUUAAUCAAAUAAUCCAUUUCUAAUUACCCUAUAAUUGAUUAUGACAAAUAAAAAAAUCGUUAUAAUUACUAAAUUAUAUACUCCCUCCGUCCCAUUUUAUGUGAGGUUGUUUGACUCGACACAAAGUUUAAGAAAGAAAGGAAGACUUUUAAAACUUGUGAUUUAAAAUGAAUGAUAUAAAUUUGUGUGACGGUAAAUCAUUUCAUUAAGGGCAAAAUAGAAAUUUUAUAGUUAAAUUGAUAGUACUUAAUAUAUAAAUAUGUCAUUCUUUUUGGGAUUGACUAAAAUAUAAGUAAGUCAAAUAAAUUGGGAUAGAGGGAGUAAUUAUAUAAACAUCGAAUGAAUUAAAUGCACUUUGGAAAGUGCACAUGAUAAACAGUGAAAAGCCCAAUCGAAAAUGGUAAGAAACUGACCCAAUCUAAUUUCCUCCGUCACAAAAUAUUGUAUAUCAUUUAGAGCAACUUUCACAUAUAGCAAAUAAAAAAAUCAUAUUUGUAUGCUAUAGCAAAAUUUGCAUAAUUGCGUUCCAUAACAAACAUAUAUAUGUAUAAUUCGCUAUACAUAUACAAUUGAAAGCUGUCUAUUUCGCUAUACAUAUAUACAAAAAGAAGCAAUUGUAUAAUUCGUUGGCUCCUCUUCAGAAUUGUAUAAUUUCGUUGGCAGGCCAUUUGUAUAAAUUGUUGUUUAAGCCUUCUCGUUUGUAUAAAUUCGUUGACAAAAAUAUUUGUAUAUCAAAAAUCGCUCUCUUUCGCUUUAUACAAACAUAAAUUAUACAUUAUACAAACAUAAAACUGGGCAGGGGAAUGUUUUUAUUGUAUAAUUAUAAGUGUAUAGGAUGAAUAUACAUGUAUUUGCAUGUGUAUAUAUAAUUUUCUCGCGCUUUAUACAAAUAGAAACACAAUUUAUACAAUUCUGUUGUAUAAAACGAGAAAGAGAGAAAGGCAAAAGAGAACUGGGCAGAGAAAUAUUUUUAUUAUAUAAUUAUAAGUGUAUAAGACGAAUAUAUAUGUAUUUGCAUGUAUAUAUACAAUUUUCUCUCACUUUAUAUAAACAGAAACGCAAUUUAUACACUUCUGUUGUAUAAAGCGAGAGAGGCGAGCACAGAGGGAGUGAGCGAGAGAGGAGAGUGGCGAGCGAGAGUUUGAGGGAGAGAGGCGCUGACAAACAGUUUGCUACAUGACACAAUUAAAUCAAAAUGUGAUUAUACCAUUUAAUUUGAAUUAAUAGUUAGCCAUUAUGUACAAUUUUCCCUAUCAUUUAUAUGCCUUAAUCAACAAAUAUCAUAUAUUUAGUAAAAUAUCAAAUGAUUCACUCUUAAUUUUAAAUAGAGAUAUGACACAAGCAUUCUUAGACUAUGAUCGAAAUUUCGGAGAGACACAUAAACUUAACUAAGGUUCUAUCACCCCGAACUCAUUUUUUGAUAUUUUUGUGCACCUUUUAUGCUGACGUGACACCUUCAACCACCCAAGUUGACUGUGUUUGUACACAUGUGUCUGCCAUGUUUGUAAAUGUUUUCUAAAAUUUUUAAAUUUGUUUUUUUUUAAAAUAUUUUUAUUUUUUUUAUCAUAUAUUUAAAUUAAGUUAAUAUAUAUUUUCUUACCUUGUAUCUAAACUUUUUUUUUAAAACUUCAUUCAUUGUUUUUUUUCUUUUAUUUACUCUUUUUAUUUUCUUUGUCUUUCCUUUUGAUUUGAUUUCAAACAUCUUGUAUUUAAGAUAAGUUAAUUUCGAAGGGAUAGCAAAAUAAGUGAAGAAAUCAAAUUAAACAUUAAAAAAAUUAAAACGUUAAAAUUAAAGGAUGCUUUUUUUAAAAAAAAAAAUAAGUAUAAUUUUUAAAAAUAAUUAAAAGUGAAAAGAUAAGAAAUUAAUGAAAGAAAAAAUAUAAAAAGUUUAAAGUGAGAAACAAAAUAAAAUAAAUAUUUUACAAAGAAAGAAAUGUAAAUAAUUAAAUAUAUAUAAGUUUUAAUAUCAAUAAAUAAGUGUACUAACUAAUUAUAAAGUUACCACUUAAAAAAUUACAUGUGUUUAAUUUUGUUCACUCAUCACUUGCCUUAUAAUGUAUUUAUUUCAUUUUAAAUUAGUUUAGAAGGUAAUAGAACCCUUGUUAAGUUUAUACGUAUCUUUGAGAUUUCAGUCAUAAGAAAAAAGAAGAAGUCAUAUUCUAAGGAUACUUGUAAUUUUUAAAUACCUCGAUUUCUUUUAAAUCCAUCAGGUGAUACCAUUUCUAAUCUGACCAAAAAAAGAUACCAUUUCUAAUAUUCUGGACACCAUAUAGUGCACGAAACUUGUAUUUUCUUCUUGGUGUUUGAGCCUGGAGAAUCAUGGUUAAUAAAUAUUAAAUGAACGAAAAUCAAAUGCACAUUGGAAAGUAUACAUGAUAAAGAAAUGAAAUUAAAAAGGCCAAUCGAGGAGCAAAAGUUACACGAAUGUAGUAGAACUGUGGGAUUAUAUGCACAUCUUGAAUUGAAAUUUGUAAAAAGCCAGCUGGUUGGUCCACAGAUAAUAUAGCCACGCUAUAUAAUCCCCUGCUAGACAAAUAUUUUAAGGGGUGACUAAACCCAACUAGUAGAAAUAAUACAAUGUAGGUACACUUGAAUAAACAAAGGGAAACAAUACACAAGUUGAAGUAGUUCGAAUGAUCAACGAGAGUUGUAGUGUAGUGAUAAAUACUUCUUCAUUCUUAAUUAGAAGUUUUAGAUUCGAGUCUCCGGGGUAUAGAGUCGCCUUUGUUAGAGAGCCUAUUCGAUUUGAGAUUUUCCAAUGCGAAUUUAGAUUUAGUCGGACUCCAGUUCCAAUGAAAAUGAUAGUGUGAGGGUUGGAAAGACUCACCAUAUAUGUAUGGGCUGUCACUUAGCUUUGAUGCCAUCAUUUUUAAUCCUGUUUCCAGCUCAAUAUAUGCUCAAAUCUUUUUUUCCUGCUUUCGGUUUUACUUUGAACCUUCCUCUUUAUUUCCUUAAGCAUAACCCCACACGCUCUAGCUACUUCUUUGUUGCUGAAGUGGGGUGGUAUAAACCCUUAUAAAACCUCACUCCAACUCUAAUUCAUCCAACAAAUUAAAGUUUGAAAUCUUUAGAACUAAACAUGGCUUUUUCUUCUUCUAAGUUAAUACUACUUUUGAUGUGUUUUAUGAUCAGUGCUUUUGGCAUUGCAAUUGCAGCCAAGUUCGAUCAAGAAUUCGACGUCACAUGGGGUGAUGGCAGAGCAAAAAUACUCAACAAUGGCGACCUCCUUACUCUCUCACUUGACAAAAUCUCUGGCUCUGGUUUUCAAUCCAAGAAUGAAUAUCUCUUUGGUAAAAUUGACAUGCAGCUCAAACUUGUCGCUGGAAAUUCUGCGGGCACCGUCACUGCCUACUAUGUAAUUCCCUUAUUUUCUUUUUUCUUAAAUGAUUUUUGAGUUUAUUGAGUUGAAAUGGAAUUGAACUUCUUUUUUGAAAAUUUAUUGCAGUUGUCAUCACAAGGACCAACACAUGAUGAGAUAGAUUUUGAAUUCUUGGGAAAUCUAAGUGGUGAUCCUUAUACUCUCCACACUAAUGUAUUUAGCCAAGGCAAAGGAAACAGAGAGCAGCAAUUCCAUCUUUGGUUUGACCCUACUGCUGAUUUCCACACAUAUUCAAUCACUUGGAAUCCACUACGCAUCAUGUAAGUAAUUAAAGAUUCGAUCUUUCUUCAAAAAUAUGUGACUUUUUAAAUCAAAUCUUGAUUUGGGGUUAUCUUAUUUUUGGUUUAACAGAUUUUAUGUGGACGGAACGCCCAUUAGAGAAUACAAGAAUAGCGAAUCAAUGGGAGUUUCAUAUCCGAAGAACCAAGCAAUGAGGAUUUACUCGAGUCUUUGGAAUGCAGAUGAUUGGGCUACAAGAGGAGGACUUGUCAAGACUGAUUGGAGCCAAGCACCCUUUAGUGCUUCUUACAGAACUUCAAAUCUAACACAUUCUUUUGGGAUAAACCUUGAUUUGGGGUUCUCUUAUUUUUUGAUUGAACAGAUUCUAUGUGGACGGAAUGCCCAUUAGAGAAUACAAGAAUAGUGAAUCAAUGGGAGUUUCAUAUCCGAAGAACCAACCAAUGAGGAUAUAUUCAAGUCUUUGGAAUGCAGAUGAUUGGGCUACAAGAGGAGGACUUGUCAAGACUGAUUGGAGCCAAGCACCCUUUAGUGCUUCUUACAGAAACUUCAGUUCUAAUGCUUGUAUUCCCAGUUCUUCAUCUUCUUGCAGUUCCAAUACUACAACUUCAACAAGCAAUUCAUGGUUGAAUGAAGAGUUAGAUAACACAAGCCAAGAGAGGCUCAAAUGGGUGCAGAAGAAUUACAUGGUUUAUAAUUACUGCACUGAUUCUAAACGAUUUUCACAAGGAUUUCCAGCAGAUUGUCUUCAGAAUAGCUGAGCAUUUACAGUGAAAUUUUUUGUAUUCUUUUACUUUUGAUCUAUAAAACUAUUAUAUUGAUUCUUUUAUUGUUCUGCACCAACCAGUAGCAGAGGAUUACAAACAUCUUAAUUUUUAGUUUUGUUACUGAGGGAUCGUUUGGUGAAAUUACACUGUGUGUUUGCCCCAAGUUUUCUUAGGAAUAUUUGACUAUUUCAAAAAAUAUAAUUUAUUUCCAUAGUUCUAAAAACUAUUAAAAAUAUCCAUAAAUUUAUAUUAUCUAUUUAUAGUGAAUAUGCUCAAUUAAAAAAUAACCUUAUAACAUAAUUGAUAACAAUCAACAACAACAAAAUAACAAUAUAUGCAAGAGCAAUACAUUAAUCACAUAUUCAAACUUGUCAUUGAUUCGGUUAUAAUUAUAAUCCAUUAGAAACAAUUUGUUCUUUUUUCUCAAUUUUGUCACUGAAAUUAGAAUUCGGAUUCUUCCGGAGGAGGUGGUAACAAACUGUUCCUUAAUAUAAUUUUCCCACAUUCUACGGACAAUCUCUUCCCUACAAGCAUUCAUUGUUAGAUUAGAAGACAGAGAAGACAAAACAAUAUUGUUACUCUGAGUCGAUUGUUCGUCAUCUUCAUCAGUAACCAUAUCAUCACGUUUAUGUUCAUUGAAUAUUUCAUCACUGUUUUGAUUUUCACGCAAAAGAAUUAUGUAAUAUGGCACAAUCAACUACUACUUUCACUUGCAUGCCUAAAUCAUAGUUGUUCAUGUCUUGUUGUAGUAUUCUGAAUCUACUUUUCCACGCACCAAAUGUUCUUUCAAUUACAUUACGCAAAGAGACAUGUCUAUAGUUAAAUAACUCAUUGUCAUGCUUAGGCUCUCUUUCACUUUUCUUGUAGUCCUGCAAAUAAUAUCACAUUCCUUUGUUACUUAAUAGAUAGAGAUGUUUAAUAUGAUUGGUGAGCAUGUUGUUUAAUAGAUAGAGGAGUAAUCUUGUUAUUUAUUGGUAGUAAUAGAUAGAUAUGGUAGAUACAAAAUAAUGGAUUUUUUUUAUAAAAUAUAGAAGUUUGGGGGUGAUUUUUGAAUUUUUUAAAAUUCUCAAGUACUAUAACUUGACCCAAAAACUAGUUUUUUUUAGUAUUUGGAAACUUGAAAUUCUUGACAAAUAUAUUUGCCAAGUUAUGUAGCAAAACACCGCUGGCCAAGUGUUUUCCAAAUUUUUUCCAAGUUUUCCCAAGUUUUAUUUGGGGCCAAACAGGUCCUAUAUCUCUUGUUAUAUUUUCGGUCUAAAUAUACCACCUUCUAUUAUACUUUUGGUCCAAAUAUUUCAUUAUACUUUGACUCAAAUUUAUUCUCGAUCUUAACAAAACAAAUAUGUUUCAAGCUGAGAAUCAAAUAACUUGCUCUGAAUUUUAAAUAAUUUGAUUUCUUUUUAAAUCCAUUAGGUGAUACCAUUUCUAGUAUUCUGGAUACCAUAAAGUGCAGGGGAACUUUUGCCUAUUUUCUAAUAUUUUUGUUGUUUGAACAUGGAUGAUCAUGGUUAGUAAAAUAUUGAUCAAUGAUCAAAAUGCAAAUGCACAAUGGAAAGUGUACACGUUAAAUAAAUGAAAUUGAAAGGGCCAAUCGAGGAGCAAAAAAUUACCCGAAUGUAUUAGGAGUACAGCCGGAUUAGAUGCAUAUCUUGAAUUGAAAUUUGUAAAAUGUUAGCUGUUUGGUCCACAGAUAAUAUUGCCACGGGAUGUAACCUCUUGCUACUCAAAUACCUUAAGGCGGUACUGUAGGUACACUUGAAUAAACAAAGGGAACAAUACACAAGUUUAACUAGUUCCAAUAAUAACGAGAGUUAUGGUGGAAUGGUAAAUAUUUCUUCAUUAAAUUUCAAAUUAGAGUCUCACCUUUGUUAUAGAUCCUUUAUCCUCCAAUGUGGGUUUUUUCAAUGCAAAUUCAAAUUUAGUGAGGCUUUGAUAUAAAUACCGAACACCAAAUUAUAAAAAAAAACAAAAAAAACUAGUUCCAAUGAGAAUGAUAGUGCGAGUCUUGGAAAGACUGACCAUAUAUGGGCUGUCACUUAGCUUUGAUGCCAUCAUUUUUUAUCCUGUUUCCAGCUCAAUCUUUUUUUUCUUGCUUUCUGUAUUACUUUGAACCUUCCUCUUUAUUUCCUCAAGCCUAUCCCCACACGCUCUACCUACUUAUUUGUUGGUGAGGUGGGGGUGGUAUAAACCCUUAUAAAACCCCAUCUAGCUUUCCAACUCCAAUUCAUCCAACAAACUUUGAAAUCUUAAGAAUUAAACAUGGCUUCUUCUUCUAAGUUAGUACUUGUAAUGUGUUUUAUGGUUAGUGCUUUUGGCAUUGCAAUUGGAAACACGUUAGAUCAAGAAUUUGAGAUAACAUGGGGUGAUGGCAGAGCAAAGAUACUCAACAAUGGCGACCUCCUUACUCUCUCACUUGACAAAAUCUCUGGCUCUGGUUUUCAAUCGAAGAAUGAAUAUCUCUUUGGUAAAAUUGACAUGCAGCUCAAACUAGUCACUGGAAAUUCUGCUGGCACUGUCACUGCUUAUUAUGUAAUUCCCUUAAUUUCUUUUCUUAUAUGAUUUUUGAGCUACGUGUUUAUUGAAUUGAAAUGAAAUUGAACCUUUUUAUUUUUUGAAAUUUAUUGCAGUUGUCAUCACAAGGACCAACACAUGAUGAGAUAGAUUUUGAAUUCUUGGGAAAUUUAAGUGGUGAUCCUUAUACUCUCCACACUAACGUAUUUAGCCAAGGCAAAGGAAACAGAGAUCAGCAAUUCCAUCUCUGGUUUGACCCUACUGCUGAUUUCCACACCUAUUCCAUCACUUGGAAUCCACAACGCAUCAUGUAAGUAGUUAAACAUUCAAUCUUACUUCAAAUCUAACACAUUCUUUUGGGAUAAACCUUGAUUUGGGGUUCUCUUAUUUUUUGAUUGAACAGAUUCUAUGUGGACGGAAUGCCCAUUAGAGAAUACAAGAAUAGUGAAUCAAUGGGAGUUUCAUAUCCGAAGAACCAACCAAUGAGGAUAUAUUCAAGUCUUUGGAAUGCAGAUGAUUGGGCUACAAGAGGAGGACUUGUCAAGACUGAUUGGAGCCAAGCACCCUUUAGUGCUUCUUAUAGAAACUUCAAUGCGAAUGCUUGUAUUCCCAAUUCCCCGUCUUCUUGCAAUUCCAAUACUACAACUUCAACUAACAGUUCAUGGUUGAAUGAAGAGUUAGAUAACACAAGCCAAGAGAGGCUCAAAUGGGUGCAGAAGAAUUACAUGGUUUAUAAUUACUGCACUGAUUCUAAGCGAUUUCCUCAAGGAUUUCCAGCAGACUGUCUUCAGAAUAGCUGAGUAUUUACAGUGAA